AUGAACGGGUAAUGGGCCCCCAAGUUUCUCAUAGAACUUGAAUUGCAGUCAGAACUCAGAUCUCAGGAUUUUGAGGCCCACAGAGGAGUAUGGGUCCUUCUUAGCAAAUGCCCCAAGACCUGGGGUUUGCAUAUUUGUGCUUUUCUCAUAUCUUGAAUCAAAUGGAAUUUGGCUUUGUAAACAAUGCUAUGCUGGGCCUGUUUUCUGAGCAGCCAGGACAGGAAGAAGACUUCCUAUCUCAUCCCACGGCUAUAAGAGUACUUUUGGCAUGGUUCAGAAUUUUUGUCCUUGAAACAGAAGGGAGGUUUCUUUGCUAAUGCAAGCAUGCUGAUCUGCCAUUGACUCAAGUGCCCACGUUAACAAAGGAUUAACUUGUGGAUGAAGCCUCCCUGAAUUGGAUGGUCACCAUGACAGUUCUGCAAAGGACCAAUUAAGGUAAAAAACUUCCUCUGCCUGAUGUGAAGGAGGAGUUGGACACCUGAAUGGCAAAGAAUGCAGAAGGUGGGGCCCAGUUCUUCAGGCAAAUAUUAAAGAGUAAUGAAUUUGAAAACAGCACCGUUUCCUUUGUUGUUCUCUGUUGGAAGAUGACCCACUCUCUCUCCUGAGAGUGCUCUUUAAUUGGGCCUCACUUUGAUUUUACUUAUAAUAAAAUUCUCUUGAAUGGC
Long non-coding RNA from Marmota monax (woodchuck), 665 nucleotides. RefSeq lists it as uncharacterized. Lineage: Eukaryota; Metazoa; Chordata; Mammalia; Rodentia; Sciuridae. The transcript is spliced from 2 exons. The record is from RefSeq and is a predicted model, not a curated record.